This 24-nucleotide microRNA is filed under the name Medicago truncatula (barrel medic). RNAcentral describes it as "mtr-miR5292a". The record is from miRBase by way of RNAcentral. Lineage: Eukaryota; Viridiplantae; Streptophyta; Magnoliopsida; Fabales; Fabaceae.
AUUCAGAUGAUAGCAACAAAGAGC